RNAcentral lists this ribosomal RNA (1388 nucleotides) under uncultured bacterium. Its description in RNAcentral is "bacterial SSU rRNA". It matches the Rfam family "Bacterial small subunit ribosomal RNA". The record is from RNAcentral.
UUAGAGUUUGAUCCUGGCUCAGGAUGACCUCUGGCGGCAUGCCUAAUACAUGCAAGUCGAACGGACCAUUUCGGUGGUAAGUGGCGAACGGGUGAGUAACACGUAGGUAACAUAUCCAUACGACGAGGAUAACGGCUGGAAACGGCUGCUAAGACUGGAUAGGAAUAUAGGAGGCAUCUUUAAUAUUUUAAAGGACCUUAGGGUACGCGUAUGGAGUGGCCUGCGGCGCAUUAGCUAGUUGGAGUGGUAAAGGCACCCCAAGGCAAUGAUGCGUAGCCGGACUGAGAGGUUGACCGGCCACAUUGGGACUGAGACACGGCCCACACUCCUACGGGAGGCAGCAGUAGGGAAUUUUCGGCAAUGGAUGGAAAUCUGAUCCAGCCAUGCCGCGUGCAGGAAGACGGCCUUAUGGGUCGUAAACUGCUUUUAUACGGGAGCAAUAAGGGUUACGAGUAAUCCGAUGAGAGUACUGUAUGAAUAAGGAUCGGCUAACUCCGUGCCAGCAGCCGCGGUAAUACGGAGGAUCCGAGCGUUAUCCGGAAUUAUUGGGUUUAAAGGGUGCGUAGGCGGCCAUUUAAGUCAGCGGUGAAAUUUUGCAGCUUAACUGUAACAGUGCCGUUGAUACUGUUUGGCUAGGAUUUGGUUGUAGUGUGCGGAAUGUGUGGUGUAGCGGUGAAAUGCUUAGAUAUCACACAGAACACCGAUUGCGAAGGCAGCACACUAAGUCAUUAUUGACGCUGAGGCACGAAAGUGUGGGGAUCAAACAGGAUUAGAUACCCUGGUAGUCCACACUGUAAACGAUGAUAACUCGCUGUCGGCGAUACACAGUCGGUGGCCAAGCGAAAGCAUUAAGUUAUCCACCUGGGGAGUACGACCGCAAGGUUGAAACUCAAAGGAAUUGACGGGGGCCCGCACAAGCGGAGGAACAUGUGGUUUAAUUCGAUGAUACGCGAGGAACCUUACCCGGGCUCGAACGGUGCAUGAAUAUACGAGAGAUUGUAUAGUCCUUCGGGACAUGUAUCGAGGUGCUGCAUGGUUGUCGUCAGCUCGUGCCGUGAGGUGUCGGCUUAAGUGCCAUAACGAGCGCAACCCUUGUCAUUAGUUGCCAUCAGGUCAAGCUGGGGACUUUAAUGAGACUGCCACCGUAAGGUGUGAGGAAGGGGGGGAUGACGUCAAAUCAGCACGGCCCUUAUGUCCGGGGCGACACACGUGUUACAAUGGGAGGUACAGAGGGCAGCUAUCCGGUGACGGAAUGCUAAUCUCCAAAACCUUUCUCAGUUCGGAUUGGAGUCUGCAACUUGACUCCAUGAAGGUGGAUUCGCUAGUAAUCGCGCAUCAGCCAUGGCGCGGUGAAUACGUUCCCGGGCCUUGCACACACCGCCCGUCAA